AGAGUUUGAUCCUGGCUCAGGACGGACGCUGGCGGCGUGCUUUAUACAUGCAAGUCGAACGAUGAAGUUCCUUCGGGAAUGGAUUAGUGGCGAACGGGUGAGGAACACGUGAGAAACCUGCCUUUCAUUCUGGGAUAACACCGGGAAACCGGUGCUAAUACCGGAUACUCCAUCUUGGCGGCAUCGCCGAGCUGGGAAAAAAUUUUGAUGAAAGAUGGUCUCGCGGCCUAUCAGCUAGUUGGUGAGGUAAAGGCUCACCAAGGCGACGACGGGUAGCCGGCCUGAGAGGGCGACCGGCCACACUGGGACUGAGACACGGCCCAGACUCCUACGGGAGGCAGCAGUAGGGAAUAUUGGGCAAUGGGCGAAAGCCUGACCCAGCGACGCCGCGUGAGGGAUGAAGGUCUUCGGAUUGUAAACCUCUUUCAGUAGGGAAGAAGCGAAAGUGACGGUACCUAAAGAAGAAGCACCGGCUAACUAUGUGCCAGCAGCCGCGGUAAUACAUAGGGUGCAAGCGUUGUCCGGAAUUAUUGGGCGUAAAGAGCUCGUAGGUCGUUUGUCGCGUCGAUUGUGAAAAUCUGAGGCUCAACCUCAGACCUGCAGUCGAUACGGGCAAACUAGAGUGUGGUAGGGGAGACUGGAAUUCCUGGUGUAGCGGUGGAAUGCGCAGAUAUCAGGAGGAACACCAAUGGCGAAGGCAGGUCUCUGGGCCAUAACUGACACUGAGGAGCGAAAGUGCGGGGAGCGAACAGGAUUAGAUACCCUGGUAGUCCGCACCGUAAACGGUGGGCACUAGUUGUGGGAACCUUCCACGGUUUCCGCGACGCAGCAAACGCAUUAAGUGCCCCGCCUGGGGAGUACGAUCGCAAGAUUAAAACUCAAAGGAAUUGACGGGGCCCCGCACAAGCAGCGGAGCAUGCGGCUUAAUUCGACGCAACGCGAAGAA
RNAcentral lists this ribosomal RNA (946 nucleotides) under uncultured bacterium. RNAcentral describes it as "bacterial SSU rRNA". It matches the Rfam family "Bacterial small subunit ribosomal RNA", at positions 8 to 968 of the family's 1533-position model. The record is from RNAcentral.